Molecule: transfer RNA, 72 nt
Filed under: Ornithorhynchus anatinus (platypus)
Lineage: Eukaryota; Metazoa; Chordata; Mammalia; Monotremata; Ornithorhynchidae
Rfam family: tRNA
About the family: Transfer RNA (tRNA) molecules are approximately 80 nucleotides in length. Their secondary structure includes four short double-helical elements and three loops (D, anti-codon, and T loops).
Source: Rfam by way of RNAcentral
AGCAGCGUGGCUCAGUGGAAAAAGCACGGGCUUUGGAGUCAGGGCUCUUGGGUUCGAAUCCCAGCUCUGCCA